AUUGAACGCUGGCGGCAGGCCUAACACAUGCAAGUCGAGCGAGCGGCGGACGGGUGCGUAAUGUAUGGGGACUGCCCGAUAGAGGGGGAUAACUACUGGAAACGGUGGCUAAUACCGCAUACUAUCGGAUAACCCAUAUGGGAUGAGCUAGUAGGUGGGGUAAAGGCUCACCUAGGCGACGAUCUUUAGCUGGUCUGAGAGGAUGAUCAGCCACACGUGGAGUGAGACACGGCCCAGACUCCUACGGAGGCAGAAGUGGGGAAUAUUGCAAAGUGGGCGCAAGACUCGUGCAGCCAUGCCGCGUAUAUGAAGCAGGCCUUAGGGUUGUAAAGUACUUUCAGCGGGGAGGCGUUACCCGCAGAAGAAGCACCGGAGAACUCCGUGCCAGCAGCCGCGGUACUAC
Molecule: ribosomal RNA, 403 nt
Filed under: uncultured bacterium
Lineage: Bacteria
Description: partial 16S ribosomal RNA
Rfam family: Bacterial small subunit ribosomal RNA
Source: RNAcentral